GGUCUUGCUCCGUUGCCCAGACUGGAAUGCAGUGGCAUGAUCAACACUCACUGCAGCCUCGAACUCCUGGGCUCCAGAGAUGCUCCUGCCUCAGCCUCCCAAUCGGCUGGGACUACAGGCACACGCCACCAUGCCUGGAUAAUUUUUUUUUUCUUUUGUAGAGAUGGGGCCUUAUUAGGUUGCCCAGACUGGUCUUGAACUGCUGGAGCCAAGUGAUCCUCCUGCCCUAACCCUAACCCAAAGUGCGGGGAUUACAGGCAGGAGCCAACGUGCUUGGCCAGACUCCAUGGUCUCUUACCUGGACCAGGACGAUGGCCCCACCCAGGCCCUCAGAACUGUGGGAUGAGGUGUUUGCUUCUGGCUCACCCACGAGAAAGAAACUCCCGGAAGGAAGGGACCGUGUCUGGAGCGCUCCAACUCCAGGCCCCAGACUGCAGGUAUCCCUUGCCAACAGAGCUGAGGCCAGCAGGGGAAACCAUUCCUGCCACCUGGACUAAGAAUGAGAUCCUCUUGAAAAAAACAAUAUUAAGAAGUGGGCUCUUCCCAUCACGCCACCAGAGUCCCAGGAAGCCAGGGAUGUGGGUGUCUAAUGGUCCGGGACAAGAUGAUGGGAAACUUCACAUGGAGAAGAAAAUGCCCAAGAAUGACUGAAACUGUCUGCAAGGUCCUGCUAAGGGAGCUGGCAGGUGCACCAGGUAUGGCGAGAUGCAAAGCAAGGAGCCCACUGCAUCGUUCCCUGGAAGGACAAGUGCAGAGGAGACCACAGAUGCCUGCGCAUUUAGCGGGAGUAUGGCAGUGCCAUCAUGGGGGAAAGGCUGUGUGACAAAUGGUAUGGAGGAGACUGACUGUCCCUUAGAAAAUGGGAAAGGAGCCAGGCGCGGUGGCUCACGCCUGUCAUCCCAGCACUGUGGGAGGCCGAGGCGGGGGGAUCACUUGAGGUCCGGAGUUCAAGACCAGCCUGGCCAACACGGUGAAACCCCGUCUCUACUAAAAAUGCAAAAACUAGCCAGGCAUGCUGGCGUGCGCCUUUAGUCCCAGCUACUCGGUAGGCUGAGAUGGGAGAAUUGCUUAAACCCAGGAGGUGAAUGUUGCAGUGAGCCGAGAUCGCGCCACUACACUCCAGCCUGGGUGACAGAGUGAGACUCUUUCA
Molecule: long non-coding RNA, 1150 nt
Filed under: Homo sapiens (human)
Lineage: Eukaryota; Metazoa; Chordata; Mammalia; Primates; Hominidae
Description: non-protein coding lnc-DNASE1L1-6:1
Source: RNAcentral